This 563-nucleotide ribosomal RNA is filed under the name uncultured bacterium. RNAcentral's name for it is "bacterial SSU rRNA". It matches the Rfam family "Bacterial small subunit ribosomal RNA", at positions 338 to 916 of the family's 1533-position model. The record is from RNAcentral.
CCUACGGGAGGCAGCAGUGGGGAAUCUUGCGCAAUGGGCGAAAGCCUGACGCAGCAACGCCGCGUGCGGGAAGAAGGCUUUCGGGCUGUAAACCGCUUUCAGCAGGAACGAAAAUGACGGUACCUGCAGAAGAAGGAGCGGCCAACUAUGUGCCAGCAGCCGCGGUGAUACAUAGGCUUCAAGCGUUGUCCGGAUUUAUUGGGCGUAAAGAGUUCGUAGGCGGUCGAGUAAGUCGGGUGUGAAAAUUCUGGGCUCAACCCAGAGACGCCACCCGGUACUGCUUGACUUGAGUUCGAUAGGGGAGUGGGGAAUUCCUAGUGUAGCGGUGAAAUGCGCAGAUAUUAGGAGGAACACCGGUGGCGAAGGCGCCACUCUGGAUCGAUACUGACGCUGAGGAACGAAAGCAUGGGUAGCAAACAGGAUUAGAUACCCUGGUAGUCCAUGCCGUAAACGGUAGGCACUAGGUGUGGGAUUCUAUUAACGAAUUCCGCGCCGUCGCUAACGCAUUAAGUGCCCCGCCUGGGGAGUACGGUCGCAAGACUAAAACUCAAAGGAAUUGACGG